AAAAGUAAAAAUAUAUAAAAGACCUGCAACGCUGAAAAGAGUGGGAAAAUCGGAGUAUCCACGAAAAAAAAAAGUACAAAGGGGAGAAUUUUUUUUUUUUUUGUAGCGUCUAUGUUAGGUUGAUUUUUGAUUUUGCAUGGAAGCAAAGAAGAGGAAACUAGACCUUGAUUGGAACAAGUUACUCUCUAAAGACGUAGCAGAUGAAGAGCCACCGCCGCCGUUAGUGGUUAUCAAGGCUGAGCCACAACCAUCACCGAGGAAAUCGGACACAAUGGGCGGCGGCGAUGAUCAAGGGAAAGAGGAAUUUUGGGAGAGUUUGCCUGAUGAUAAGCUGGAAGAGAAGAUUCUACGGCAGCAAAGGAAUCUGGAAUGCUUUGGCUCUAAAUUACCGGAUAAAGGGAAGAAGAUUAGCGAUCAGCUUCGGCUUCUCGAGGAGGAGAAAAGACGGAGAACGGUUUCGCGAGCGAAAAUGAAUGCUGAUGAAUGUGAGAAGCCUGGGCAAUCUCCGAGCUCAGAUCUUGUUGGUUCUUCUAAUGGCUUUGAACAUCAGUGUAAAUCACAAGAAGCUUUCUCACAAUCUGCAUUUGGUGCUAGUUUUUGUAAAAAGUUGGAAGAAAAUACAGAUUCUAGGUCACUCAACACAUUUGAGAAAAGUUUAUCAGUUUUGAAUCGUUGUGACUCCCGAAAACCGAGAUGCAAUGGGGAGUUUUCACAGAGUGAAAGGGUGAAAGUUCGAAGAUCACCAAGACGGAUGAAUUCACAACACCAAAUGAAGCCUUCUUUUGGUGAUCAAAAGGGUAGGACAGCUACAUUAUCUUCUCUUUUUAACACGGAUGACAACUUGACAAGCAUUGCAAAGAAGGAUGCUAUUCAAGUCCAACCAUCAAAUUAUUCAAAGUGUAGGCAGGGCCAGACUGUUGUUAUUGUAGAUGAGGAAGAACCACAGUUAGUAAAGACAACAGAGCUUGAAGUUAAACUUCCGAAUUGCAAAAAGGAUGCUAGGAUCUAUUAUCCAUCAAGGGAUGAUCCAGAAUCUGUUGAAAUUUGUUUUGGUGAUAUUGACAGCCUUGCUCCUGAAACCUUCUUGACAUCUCAAAUUAUGAAUUUCUACAUCCGAUAUUUGCGGCAGCAGGCAUCCCCAACAAACAGGGCUAUAUGUGACUAUCAUAUUUUUAACACAUAUUUUUACCCGAAGCUGAAGGAAGCUGUAUCAUACAAGGUUUUAUCUUUCCUGUUCUCUUAUAGAUGGUUGCCUUUUUCGCGGUGUAAGGGGAGUGACAAAGAUUCCUUAUUCAUCAAGUUCAGAAGGUGGUGGAAAGGUGUCAAUAUUUUCCAGAAAGCAUAUAUACUUAUUCCAAUUAAUGAAGAUUACCAUUGGAGUUUGGUCAUCAUUUGUAUACCUGACAAAGAAGAGGAAUUAGGACCAAUUAUCCUUCAUUUGGAUUCAUUGGGACUUCAUUCUAGCAGAUUGGUUUUUAAGAACAUUAAAAGCUACAUGAGGGAAGAAUGGACCUAUUUGAAUCAAGAGGUUGCUCCUUCAGAUCUUCCAAUUGCGGACAGAAUAUGGGAAAAUCUCCCACGAAGGAUUGACGAGAAAACAAUAGCUGUUCCCCAGCAAAAGAAUGAUUAUGAUUGUGGUCUCUUUGUUCUUUUCUUUAUGGAGCGUUUCAUUGAAGAGGCCCCUGAAAGACUGAAAAAGAGAGAUUUAGCAAUGUUUGGCAAGCAAUGGUUCAGACCUGAAGAAGCCUCUAGCUUGAGAACGAGAAUACGGAACUUACUAAUCGAACAAUUCCAAACUACAACUGAGGAACAAUUCCAAACCACAACCGAGGAUACGGGUGGUUCACAAUCUUCUCCUUCAUCCUAACUCCUUUUUAAGUUGGUGCUCCAGCAUGAAUCUGGUGCCAGAGAAAAAUGACACACCAGCAGAUAGGGUACCAUCUUUGUACAGCUUCCUUAUGGUCCUCACAUUCAAAUGCAUCAAUGGCAAAAUCAGUUUGUGCUAGGUUGUUUGAACUGGACCGGUUGGACCGGGAAUUGGACGGGGUAUGGGUCCGGAGAAAGGCAUUGAACCAGUUGACCCAAGAACCGGUACAAACCGGUUGAACUUAGCGGUUGAACUUGAACUGGAUUUUUUAAUAUAUAUUUAAAAUUUUUAAUGAUUUUUUAAUUCAACCGGACAUAUCGGUUGAACCGGUUGGAUUGAUGGCCUGGUUGGUUCAAUCACUAGCCCAUUCCUGAAAACCUUGAGUUUGUGUUUUGUGUGUGUUUAUAUGGUUAACAAGAAAAAAUAUGAAAAUAUAA
This is an RNA transcript of Gossypium arboreum, 2304 nucleotides long. It is a transcript of the gene named ubiquitin-like-specific protease 1D, with no coding region annotated. The record is from RefSeq and is a predicted model, not a curated record. Lineage: Eukaryota; Viridiplantae; Streptophyta; Magnoliopsida; Malvales; Malvaceae. The transcript is spliced from 15 exons.